AACGCACCUUGCGCCUUUUGGUAUUCCGAAAGGCACACCUGUUUGAGCGUCAUGAAUACCUCAAUCCCCAUCUUUUCUUCAGAUUGAUGGGUGACUUGGAUGUUGAGCCCUGCUGGUAUGCUAUAUCAGCUGGCUUUAAACUUAUUAGCCGGCUCUGUACUGGAUCGGUUCGACUCGACGUGAUAAUAUUAUCGUUGAGGAUGCAUGUCUCAUGCAGCCGGAAAGUAUCAAAGCAGCUUCUAGCUUGCCUUUAGCGCACUUUUACAUUUUAGACCUCAGAUCAGGUGGGACUACCCGCUGAACUUAA
Molecule: unclassified non-coding RNA, 307 nt
Filed under: Acrodontium sp.
Lineage: Eukaryota; Fungi; Ascomycota; Dothideomycetes; Mycosphaerellales; Teratosphaeriaceae
Also listed under: 1 other name
Description: partial contains 5.8S ribosomal RNA, internal transcribed spacer 2, and large subunit ribosomal RNA
Source: RNAcentral